AGUGAAUAGAUACCCGGGUAGUCCCAGCUGUAAACGAUGCGCGUUAGGUGUAUCGGUGACCACGAGUCACCGAGGUGCCGAAAGGGAAACCGUGAAACGUGCCGCCUGGGAAGUACGGUCGCAAGGCUGAAACUUAAAGGAAUUGGCGGGGGAGGCACCACAACAAGGUGGAGCCUGCGGUUUAAAUUACGGACUCAACGCCGGGAAGGCUCACCGGAUAAGACAGCUGAAUGAUAGCCGGGUUGAAGACUCUGCUUGACUAGCUGAGAGGAGGUGCAUGGCCGUCGUCAGUUCGUACUGUGAAGCAUCCUGUUAAGUCAGGCAACGAGCGAGACCCACGCCAACAGUUGCCAGCAUGUCCUCCGGGUAUGGUGGGGACACUGUUGGGACCGCCUCUGCUAAACGAGGAGGAAGGAAUGGGC
This 422-nucleotide ribosomal RNA is filed under the name uncultured bacterium. RNAcentral's name for it is "bacterial SSU rRNA". It matches the Rfam family "Archaeal small subunit ribosomal RNA", at positions 725 to 1136 of the family's 1478-position model. The record is from RNAcentral.